CUCAAAAUCAAAAGCCAAUAAUCAUGCUAGAUUGAAAAUCCUAGUAUCAUUCUGAAAAAUUCUUCUCUCAGCACACUCUAAUUCUCAUAAAAAUCUGCUGUAGCACCAACUCUAACUACGAAAUUCUAUAAGAAUUAUAUCAACUUAAUGACUUGCACUUAUUAACGGUUCUGCCCCGAUAAGAGAUAAAAGGUCGAGGAGAUUUCCUUUUCUUUCCCUUUACAAAGAAUGUACAUGAUCUCAAUGCCAAACAAGCAGUGCUAAUACACGGCCACAAACAGAAGAAACUGCCAAAUAUGUAUAAUAGAAAAAUUUGAAAUAAGAAAAUCAAAAGAAAUCAGCUCAACAAGCAAAACAUGGUUGGCAAAUACUAAUGCUACAUGCUACCAGCUCUGCCUGGAGUAGAUUUUGCAGACGAUUUCACUUUAGCCAUAUCAACAAGAUCUCCGAAUAGCUUGUCCUCUGGCUUUGAAGGCCUCAUGGGCGUCACAUACGAUGAAGUGGACACCUGGUAUUAAGAGUUCCUUAAGCUGCUGUCAUCUCUAACCGAUACAUCCGCUGGUCAAGGUACUGAGCACCUUGUUGGCCAUAGCCGUAGGCUGCCACCUGGCUGCCAUACAUUUGCUGGGGAUAUAAAUAAGCCAUCUGACCUACUUGCAUUGGCUGAGGAACCAUCCCCAUAUAAGGACCUCCUUGGAUGGGCUGAGGUGGUAAGUCCUACCAUUUGGUUUAUCGGAACAACCUGGCUAUUCAGCAAUGGCAUGUGGCCACCUGCGACUGGUUGCAAGUACAUGCCCAUCGCUUGCUCAUU
This 811-nucleotide long non-coding RNA is filed under the name Eucalyptus grandis. RNAcentral describes it as "long non-coding RNA (EGRA_LNC007868)". The record is from RNAcentral. Lineage: Eukaryota; Viridiplantae; Streptophyta; Magnoliopsida; Myrtales; Myrtaceae.